UUAGACGGUAGGGUAUUGGCCUACCGUGGCUAUGACGGGUAACGGGGAAUUAGGGUUCGAUUCCGGAGAGGGAGCCUGAGAAACGGCUACCACAUCUAAGGAAGGCAGCAGGCGCGCAAAUUACCCAAUCCUAAUACAGGGAGGUAGUGACAAGAAAUAACAAUACAGAACCUCACGGUUUUGUAAUUGGAAUGAGUUAAGUAUAAACCCCUUAACGAGUAUCAAUUGGAGGGCAAGUCUGGUGCCAGCAGCCGCGGUAAUUCCAGCUCCAAUAGCGUAUAUUAAAGUUGUUGCAGUUAAAAAGCUCGUAGUUGAUUUUCUGUUA
Molecule: ribosomal RNA, 325 nt
Filed under: Cryptosporidium scrofarum
Lineage: Eukaryota; Apicomplexa; Conoidasida; Eucoccidiorida; Cryptosporidiidae
Description: SSU rRNA
Rfam family: Eukaryotic small subunit ribosomal RNA
Source: RNAcentral